UACAGAGGUGGCGAGCGUUAUUCGGAAUUAUUGGGCGUAAAGGGCGCGUAGGCGGCUUGACAAGUCCCGGGUGAAAUCCCUCGGCUCAACCGAGGAACUGCCUUGGAAACUGUCUGGCUUGAGGCCGGGAGAGGGUAGUGGAAUUCCCGGUGUAGCGGUGAAAUGCGUAGAGAUCGGGAGGAACACCAGUGGCGAAGGCGGCUACCUGGACCAGCACUGACACUGAGGCACGAAAGCGUGGGGAGCAAACAGG
RNAcentral lists this ribosomal RNA (253 nucleotides) under uncultured prokaryote. RNAcentral's name for it is "partial 16S ribosomal RNA". It matches the Rfam family "Bacterial small subunit ribosomal RNA", at positions 524 to 776 of the family's 1533-position model. The record is from RNAcentral.